This 269-nucleotide ribosomal RNA is filed under the name Glossoscolex paulistus. RNAcentral's name for it is "partial 16S ribosomal RNA". The stretch from base 1 to 165 matches the Rfam family "Bacterial large subunit ribosomal RNA", at positions 2481 to 2645 of the family's 2925-position model. Lineage: Eukaryota; Metazoa; Annelida; Clitellata; Crassiclitellata; Glossoscolecidae. The record is from RNAcentral.
GCUAAUCUCACUAAAGAGCCCUUAUCAAUAGUGUGGGUUGGCACCUCGAUGUUGGCUUAGGAUAUCUGUAUAGUGCAAGAGCUAUAUAAAGAUGGUUUGUUCAACCAUUAAACUCCUACAUGAGCUGAGUUCAGACCGGCGUAAGCCAGGUUAGCUUCUAUCCACAACACAAAAACCUAACCAUAGUACGAAAGGACCUGGUUAUGGGUAACACUUACACUUCAAGAACUGAUAUAAUACGCCACAACAACUAUAUAAUGUAUACUACA